This 246-nucleotide non-coding RNA is filed under the name Bacillus cereus. RNAcentral's name for it is "T-box sequence". It matches the Rfam family "T-box leader". From Rfam's summary of the family: Uncharged tRNA acts as the effector for transcription antitermination of genes in the T-box leader family. T-boxes are found upstream of many aminoacyl-tRNA synthetase genes and some amino acid biosynthetic genes usually in Gram-positive bacteria. The record is from RNAcentral. Lineage: Bacteria; Bacillati; Bacillota; Bacilli; Caryophanales; Bacillaceae.
GGAAAAGCGACGAGAAGGAGAAGUAGAAAAACAGGCUUUUUACAGAGAGAACCAUCUUUGGCUGGAAGUGGUUUAUAAGCGGUUUUUUGAAAUGCACCUUUGAGUCUUCUGCCCAACAACGAAUGAUUUCGGAAAACGCCCGAAAGACGAAAAGUAAGCAGAAGCGGUAUCAGCCGUUAUUAAGAAUGAGUUUGAGGCUUUUUUGGCCUAAACAGAGUGGAACCGCGCUAAAAAGGCGUCUCUGUC